RNAcentral lists this ribosomal RNA (253 nucleotides) under uncultured bacterium. RNAcentral describes it as "partial 16S ribosomal RNA". It matches the Rfam family "Bacterial small subunit ribosomal RNA", at positions 524 to 776 of the family's 1533-position model. The record is from RNAcentral.
UACGAAGGGGGCUAGCGUUGCUCGGAAUUACUGGGCGUAAAGGGCUCGUAGGCGGCCAACUAAGUCAGACGUGAAAUCCCUCGGCUUAACCGGGGAACUGCGUCUGAUACUGGAUGGCUUGAAUCCGGGAGAGGGAUGCGGAAUUCCAGGUGUAGCGGUGAAAUGCGUAGAUAUCUGGAGGAACACCGGUGGCGAAGGCGGCAUCCUGGACCGAAAUUGACGCUGAGGCGCGAAAGCCAGGGGAGCAAACGGG